RNAcentral lists this unclassified non-coding RNA (699 nucleotides) under Hevea brasiliensis (rubber tree). The record is from RNAcentral. Lineage: Eukaryota; Viridiplantae; Streptophyta; Magnoliopsida; Malpighiales; Euphorbiaceae.
AGAGAAAGAAGAGAGGGAGAAGAAGAGAUAACAGAGAAUAGAGAAUAGAUAUGAGAAUUAGAGAAAGAGAACAUAAAAUAAGAGAAAAAAAUAUUCCUUUUUUAUCUUUAUUGAUGACCAAUUACACAAGUACAUUUCCUCUUUAUAGUGCAAUCCUAUAAAUAUUCUAGUAAAUCCCUAAUUGCUUAACUACUUCAAUUAUAUUUCCAACUCAAUCCCUUUUAUCAACUUAUGUGACACCUUUGUAGCCUUUCCUCCUAUUUUACUCUUUUUCUUUUUAUUCUCUUUCUUUCUAAAAACUUAACAACAUGGUACCAGAGUCUAUGGAAAAUUCUGGUGUUUCUCCAUUCUUAUUGUUCUCCUUCACAAAGCUAUGGGCUCGAGUCCAAAAGCUAUUUUCCUUCAUCUGAGUUUGAGUCCAAAGCUGUGGGUUUUUGUCCCAAGCUAUUCAUCAUCUUCUUCUCCUCCUUCAUGAUUUGAGAGCUAGGGUUGAAGUCCCUGCUCUUCUUCUCUUUCAUUAGAGCCAAGGGUUGAAGUCCCUACUAUGUACUUUUCCUUCACCUGAGCCGAGAAUUGAAGUCCUACUCUGUUUUUCUUCCAUAGAGCCAAGGAUUUGAAGUCCCUCCUCUAUUUCUUCUAUUUUUGUCCUCUAUUUCUCAAAAAAGAAAAACACCCAAAAAAAAGAAAGAUUUAAAAGUA